AGCGCAGGCGGUUUUUUAAAGUCUGAUGUGAAAGCCUUCGGCUUAACCGAAGAAGUGCAUCGGAAACUGGGAAACUUGAGUGCAGAAGAGGACAGUGGAACUCCAUGUGUAGCGGUGAAAUGCGUAGAUAUAUGGAAGAACACCAGUGGCGAAGGCGGCUGUCUGGUCUGUAACUGACGCUGAGGCUCGAAAGCAUGGGUAGCGAACA
RNAcentral lists this ribosomal RNA (208 nucleotides) under uncultured bacterium. Its description in RNAcentral is "partial 16S ribosomal RNA". It matches the Rfam family "Bacterial small subunit ribosomal RNA", at positions 568 to 774 of the family's 1533-position model. The record is from RNAcentral.